UUAUUACGCAUACCAAGUUCAUGCCAAAUGAAGAAAGAUCACUGAUUUCUGCGAAUUCAAUACAUAAUUCAUAUCGAAACCAAAGUGAUAUCUCCCGGAUUCAUUAUUAAUGAACUACCCAAAUAGUUCUUGUACUGCUCAUUUUAAUAGUAACAACACAAACUGACUUGUUGACAAAUAAAAUAUAUCUGUAGGAAUGGAAGUCAGUGAAGAUUAAGCUGUUGUGUUGUUAUAGAGAUGCAUGAUAAUUGUGGAAUGUUUUUUCCUUUUUUGGGAUGAAUCAUGGAUGUUUUCUAUCAUGUAGCAUGAGAAUGAAAGUAACCACUAUUUUUAGGCUGAAACUGCAAAUUUUGAGAAGUGAGCAUUGAAGUUAAAUUACAGUUUUGGUAUGGUGCAUCAGCUGUCGAUAGUGGACGUGCAAGCAUGAGAAGAACUGUUGUUCCUUUGAUUGAAAUAGGCAAAAGGCUUGUCUUUUUGGCUGAGUGGGACUACCCAGCCAAGCCAUAUGUUUUCUUGCUCUGUUUCCUCUACGUAGUUCACAGAGGCUUGAUAUGGUACUUUUUCCCUGGCUUUCUUGCUGGCUCCACCAUUUUCAUGCUAUGGACCAAGCACCAUUUUCACUGUCGAGCAGCUCCUUGCUCUGCAGGAAGCCAUCUCGCAGCUUGAGAGGUGAUCGUUGCUGUGAUGAAUGAGUCAUGUUCAUGUUGUUGUGAUGAAGCCUCCCUGUGUGGCUUCCCCUGCGCUUUCGCGGCUGUUCCAUCUCCGACUCCAGUGCAGGU
This is a long non-coding RNA of Triticum dicoccoides, 779 nucleotides long. RefSeq lists it as uncharacterized. The record is from RefSeq and is a predicted model, not a curated record. Lineage: Eukaryota; Viridiplantae; Streptophyta; Magnoliopsida; Poales; Poaceae. The transcript is spliced from 4 exons.